Molecule: transfer RNA, 73 nt
Filed under: Camelus bactrianus (Bactrian camel)
Lineage: Eukaryota; Metazoa; Chordata; Mammalia; Artiodactyla; Camelidae
Also listed under: 2 other names
Rfam family: tRNA
About the family: Transfer RNA (tRNA) molecules are approximately 80 nucleotides in length. Their secondary structure includes four short double-helical elements and three loops (D, anti-codon, and T loops).
Source: Rfam by way of RNAcentral
GAGGGGAUAGCUCAAGUGGUAGAGUGCAUGCAUAGCAUGCAUGAGGUCCUGGGUUCGAUCCCCAGUACCUCCU